This 694-nucleotide ribosomal RNA is filed under the name Triticum aestivum (bread wheat). Its description in RNAcentral is "partial small subunit ribosomal RNA". The record is from RNAcentral. Lineage: Eukaryota; Viridiplantae; Streptophyta; Magnoliopsida; Poales; Poaceae.
CGACCGACGGCUCAGGACGCCCGUGUCGUGUCGAAAGAAACCCCAUUUCUCUCUCUCUCUCUCCCGCACUGAUCGCCAGCCGCCGCCGCCGGGAAGACGAGCUCCGACUUGAAACCACCCAAAACCCUACCGCACCUCCUCCCGUCCUCGCCGCCGCCGCCCUCGCUCUUCCGGAACGAUGCCGCUGGGGCUGAUACUGAGCUCGAUCGGGAGGUCGAUGCGGCGGAAGCGGACGUCCUCGCUCAACAUCCUCUCCUCCAAGAGGGCGCCCCGGGACUACUACAAGGGCAAGAAUUGCAAGCCCACCGGGUUCCACACCCGCAAAGGUGGCUAUGUGAUGGUGGAUGCAAAGUUACCAAGAUUCGUGGUCCCUGACUUGACUGAUUUUAAGUUGAAGCCAUAUGUAUCACAAUGUGCCAGGGACGAACUCGGAGCCUCCUCAGCUGAAAACAAGAACUGAUGUUUCUAGAUGCUCUAGUUGUUACUUGUUUUACAAGAAUGCAAUGCAGCUUUGCAAUUAUGUUUUCUCACGGUGCCCAUGUUCAGAGCAUCUAACCUCGUCAAGAUUGGUCCUAGUGUACUAGUCGUAAUAACAAACUUUGUGCCUCAGCAUGAAUUCGAUUUUUUUUUUACCAAUGUUGAUUUACUCUGCGUUCACAUGUUUUCUAGCAUUUGUGAUGUUCCAUUCUGAAGC